This is a long non-coding RNA of Lates calcarifer (barramundi perch), 2537 nucleotides long. RefSeq lists it as uncharacterized. The record is from RefSeq and is a predicted model, not a curated record. NCBI's taxonomy places the organism in Eukaryota, Metazoa, Chordata, Actinopteri, Centropomidae. The transcript has 5 exons.
UGAAGCAUGUAUUUAUUUCGUUACUUAUUUCAAAACCAUAUUUAUUAAUUUGAACCACUCCAACAGUAACAGUGCUUAGCGCCGCUUAAAACUCCACAUUUUCUCCCUCUGUACCUGGGUAGUGCCUGCCUGCCUCCCUGCCUGCCUGCAGCACCGAAGGUCUCCGCCAGAGACGUCUGUCUUACCCAGGCGGAAGAAAAAGUAGUUCCAACCAACCGCGCAUCAUUUAGACAAGAUUUUAAUAGUUUAGUUAUUUUACACUGUGUUCCUGUUAAUGAUAUACAUCACCUGAAAUGACUGAAGUAUCAAAAGUAUCGAUAUUUUGAUUUGAGAAGAGCAAAUUUAGAGCAUAAAGAUCUAGUAUCGAAGGUAUCGAUAUUUCAGUAUCGAUCCACACAUCACUACCAUUUACAACGGGCAGCGCGAGGAGGCAGUUGAACCGUUGCAAACCAAGCUCAGCGGGAAGUUGGCCUGUGAAAAAUAGAUGGACGGUUAAAGCUACUGCCCCAUUCUCUAAAAAAAAUGACUGCUGAAAAUAUACGAGAGGAGUGUUUUAUAUCCCAUUUGGAAAAUUACUUUUUUAAAGUCAGGUUUCCUAAGGAGAGGUACGUAUAUCUGUCCCUUGUUUAGCUAGCAACUGUCGCCUAGCUGAAGAAGCUAACUAGCUCUCAGUGUUUUAGACUGGCCGUUAAACGAAUCUGGGGAGGAUGCUAACGUUAGCGACAUUACAUUAAAUUACACUUCCGUUUUAACAGAAUAUUUAUUUAUGUUGUUUACAACGCAAGGAUAGCCCUCCAAAAAGGUUCUUUCUGAAGGAAGAUGUCGAAGAUGGAGAAAAAUCAACUGACGGCAGAGAACAGCACGGCUCAAAAAGAUGGCGAAAGCAAUCAGGGCAGCAGAGGAAGGUGAGAAAGGGGAAAGAUGAUUGCAAAUCUUGGAUGAAAUGACACACUACAAAGCAUCUUCUCUGACAGUCAUUGGGGAUGGAGGAGUUGUUCCCAGAAGACUCUAGAUGAACAAUACUUAACGACAUCAGGACGAUGGGUGGGGUGGAGUGGAUGCAGUGUCAAAUCAGCCAUGUCCUUCCUGAUGGACUUUGUACCAGUACGCUCCCUGAACAAGCAUCUCAGCUUUAACUGAGAAUCUUGAUUGGUCAGAGGGCCCAGCAGCCGCCUUGGACACCCAAGCUUAGCUGCCAAGCAGAAAAAAAUGUAAUCCACAGAGAAUCAGUGUGCAGCCUGAUGGAGCCUGGUGGAACCGCUGCAAACAUGGUACAGCCCUGCUUCAGCCAGUUAUCCACUGACUGCAGAAGACAUGCCUCAAGACAGCCUGAACUACAGACCAGCCAGUAAUCACAGAGAAACUUUGUUGUGGGGAACUUGUGACAUUCACAUAUUGUCAGUAUCUGAUGCCGAGUCCCCUCUAGAUGACUCUGACCUUGAUGAAACUUACAACCCUACAAAAGACAAGUAGGAAGAGACAGAAAGCUCUAGUAACAGCAGAGAAAGUGGGCAAGAGGUUCAAGUAUCUGAAGAUAUUAUGGAGGAAGAAGCACACAAUAGACCUAAGAGGAAGAAAGGUGUCAACUACAGAAAACAAAAUGUGGAAAACAGAUGGCUGGGAAGAGUACAAGGGGAAAAAAAGUGGACUUUUUUGUUUUUUUGACUGUUGGUCAGAACAAAACAGCAAUUUAAAUAUGUUAACUUAAACUCCAGGGAAUAAUGAUGGACAUUAUUCAUUAUUUUCCAAUGUGAUUAUUGCUCCUGAUUUAAAUGUCACUGCACCUCCCUGCAGCCAGUGGUAUUACUACAACACCCCCUUGGGUUUGUAGUUUUUCUGUAAUAUCAGAGCAGCAUCACAUUGAAACAUAUUUACUGUAUUUUCUUUAUUUUGUACUAGAUUAGGCUAUCAGUUAAUACAGCAUAACAGCAGUGGUGGAAGAAGUAUUCAGAUCAUUUAAUUAAGUAGAAGUAGCAGUGCUUUAUCCUAAAUAUAUUCCAUUACAAACUAGAAAGCACUCAGAGAGCGCAGACCUCCGCCAAGGAAGUUCAUUUCCCCAUAUGACAUCUUAGGAUCUGGAAUAUUGCCAAGAUCCGGAUCAAACAUAGAGAUGUUGGAGAACCUAUUGUGAGCUUUUCCUAUAUUUUCGGUCAAACAUCCUGGGCAUUCUCUGUGGAGUUACAUGUAACAAUGUUAAAAAAAUGUCAGUAUCUUGCUAUGAUAAAGAAUUCUUAGCCCUUUAUUGGUCACUCAUUGAAAUAAUUGGAAAUUCAAAAUUUCAACCCUAGAGUGUCAUUGCACAAGACUUUUUUACUUUUGUGACAUUUUUAAAAAUAUUAAAUUUUCAUGUAGAAAAUUAAGAUCAAUGAAGUUACCAUAUAUGGUUCCUUGCCCAUCAAGGGUAAAACAUUUUCUAAAAAAAUGUAUACAUGCAAAAAAUAGAAAAACUCAUAUAAAGUUAAAGGGACAUUUAUUUAUAACAUGUUUAACAUGUUUCAUCCAACAUAAAUAACAUAUAUAUAGAAGGCCCCAUGUCA